AGAAGCAGCCAUCAUUUAAAGAAAGCGUAAUAGCUCACUGGUCGAGUCGGCCUGCGCGGAAGAUGUAACGGGGCUAAACCAUGCACCGAAGCUGCGGCAGCGACGCUUAGGCGUUGUUGGGUAGGGGAGCGUUCUGUAAGCCGUUGAAGGUGGCCUGUGAGGGUUGCUGGAGGUAUCAGAAGUGCGAAUGCUGACAUAAGUAACGAUAAAGCGGGUGAAAAGCCCGCUCGCCGGAAGACCAAGGGUUCCUGUCCAACGUUAAUCGGGGCAGGGUGAGUCGACCCCUAAGGCGAGGCUGAAAAGCGUAGUCGAUGGGAAACAGGUUAAUAUUCCUGUACUUGGUGUUACUGCGAAGGGGGGACGGAGAAGGCUAGGCUGGCCGGGCGACGGUUGUCCCGGUUUAAGCGUGUAGGGGGUGUGACCUGGU
Molecule: ribosomal RNA, 427 nt
Filed under: Serratia marcescens
Lineage: Bacteria; Pseudomonadati; Pseudomonadota; Gammaproteobacteria; Enterobacterales; Yersiniaceae
Description: partial 23S ribosomal RNA
Rfam family: Bacterial large subunit ribosomal RNA
Source: RNAcentral